Molecule: unclassified non-coding RNA, 3333 nt
Filed under: Hevea brasiliensis (rubber tree)
Lineage: Eukaryota; Viridiplantae; Streptophyta; Magnoliopsida; Malpighiales; Euphorbiaceae
Source: RNAcentral
CUCCACUUCAUAAUUGGAAAGGCUAGCUAACCUAUUAAUGUGAUGAUUGAUCGGGACACAAACAUUUUCUUUAGCAAUUGAAGCUACAUUACCAGUAACUCGCAAUCAACAUAAGAGAUACCUAUCCAAAACAUUGCUAUUUCCAUUCCUGUUUAUGCUAUACUUUUGUAUGGCUUGUUUAGUUAAUGCCAUGGUACAUUUCCUCCCCAUAUUUGGAGCUAGCAGAAACAAGAAUGGAAAUAGCAAAGCCAUAAUUACAUGAUUAAAGAAUGUGACAGUAGGGAUUUCAGGUGCUUCUUAGAAAUUAUAUUUUUGUAGAAAACACGAAAAUAAUAACGAUAGUGGUAGUAACGAUGACAGGCGUAAUCACGGGCACUGUGGAUUUUUCCCAGGGCCUCCAUAGUAAAAAUAUGUGCCCCAUUCAUUGUUGUUGGAGCUUUUGAUAUUGUAGCAAUUUGUGUUCUCGGCUAGUAUAGAGAUAGCUUGGGCUGAGCUGAGGCUGUUGUCGGAGUCAACAAUCUCCAAGUUCCGAAAAUAGCUUGCUUUUCCGAAUCCAUCUUCGGCAAAGUGGCCUGAGCCCAUCUGGGUUGAGGUGUGCUGACCAUUGGCCCUUGAAUUUACCACUUCACCACCCCACUCCACCAUGGUGGCAUGGUCUGCUAGGUGUGUAAAUAGCUCUGCUGGCCAAUACCCUACUAGGGUAUUGUCACUAAAUCCCAUCCACCAAUUCCCCAGUUUUGGAUCCUUCCAAAUGAGGAUGGUAAUGUCAUAUUGGCUGCCUGCAUAUGAUGAUACAGGAGAAAUGGCAGCUCCAAUGGCUAUUCUGCUAUUGCUUUGAACAAACCCUGCGCAGAGAAGGUUGUAACAUCCGGUUGCCUGGUAUGAAUCACUCUGCAAAAAUAAAACCAACAAAGAAAGUGAAUACCCAACUUCAGCCCAAUUCAUAAAUAGGUCUCCUCUCAUUUUAUUAAAUAGGAUUUGAAUCUUAAUUAAAUCAUGAAAGAUUUUUGUUUUUCAUUUUCUUUUGAGCUUGUAUAUAAUUAUUAUAAUGAUGUAUGCCUAAACUUUUGUUACAAUUGUUAUGGUACGUAUAAAUACAGCAAUUUGCAAGCAAAACAAUGAAAUUAUGGCACAGUCCCCACAACACCCACCACAUUAAUCAUGAUAUUAAUCACAGCACUGUCAAAAGGACUGGUUUUGGGAAACCCAUGCUUUCAAAACAAUAGAAUGAUCAAAUUCAAGUCCAUACUGAAUCAUAAAUGACCAUUUAUCCAUAGGACAUAAAAUCCUCAAGCCCAUGCUUUAGAAGCUGGCCUUAGCAAAGCUGUCUAAAAUCCUAAAAUUGACCUGUAGGAGUUGGGAAUCAUUCUUGGUAUGGCACUGAAUUUUACUACUCAAAAGCUAUGAAAAGUGCAUUGCAAGACUUGGUUUAGGGCCACAAAAGGGUAGUUGUUGAAUUUAAUUUUUGAGCAAUUUAUUGUAGGCCAAAUGGUCAGGACAUUGCCCUCUCAACUAUCAGCCUAUGCCCCAAGUGUUAAGAAUCAUCCAUUAUGAAAUGCCCUAGCCCUACAAGAUUAGGGAAAUGAUAAUAGGAAUAGGUCUAAAUAAUUAUAAUGAAGGCAUUAAUUUAAUAACAGUCUACAUAAUUAAGAGGAAUCUUACUGUCCAGUAUGUGAACAAUCUGGGCCUGCUGUCACCGUAAAGCUCCGGACUGACCUGACUAGUAGAAUAAUCACAACUUCAGAAAUUCCCCAGUAAUUAAAUUUAUUAAUUAUAAAAUAUUGAUUCAUUUAUUCCAAGAAAUUAUGUAUUAAUUUCCAAUUUCAGAUCUUGGAAGAAUCCAUUAGUUUCAAAGUUCUACAGUUCUAAAAAAUAGUAUUAUUCAAUUUUGGAUUAUGUGCAUGCGAGGACAGGAAAUGGAAGAAGUACCUGCCAUCCAGCUUCGAUGCUGUUGAGAUCUGAGCCGUCGAAUGAUCCCGAAAGAACCCAAAUUUGCGAUAAGCUGAACUCGUUGACCACUUGGAUGGAUGGAUCCCACACGUUUACAGUUGCCUUUGCUCCGUACACUUCUUGUGAUGAUCCAGUGUAGGCGAUCGCAUGCUGCGAAUGUGAAGAUCGCCUCAGAAAACUCGUAUUUAUUGAUGGAAAAAAAAAAAAAAAUCAAAGAACGAACGGUCAAAGGUAGAAAAUAAAAGUAAAAGGAGUUUCGAGAAUUGCAGUGGGACCCUUAUUGGAAAGAUAAAGAUCGUGCGGCUAGGAUUUUGUUUGAGUUUAGGAGAAUUUGACUUUGUAACGAAAUGAAUGCAAAGGCAAUUAAUAGAAUGGAUUCGUUCGGUUGCAAUUUGCAAAGAAAAGGAAGAUGAUUGAAAUUAAUGCAUGUGAAUGAAUUCAUUUCUUUGCGGUUUCCUCAUUAAUUAAUUCAUUUUUUUUAAAAAAAAAAUCAUUUUUUCAAUUUUAAAUGAGAAAAGGGUGCAUAUUUUUAAAUUUUUAUAUUAAAAUUUAUAUAUAAUUUGAAUUAAAAUAUAUAUAAUUAAAUUAAAAAUUAUUAAAACGUAAGAUUGAGCUUAUAAUGUAAGAAGAAGAAAAGAUAGAAUACCUCGUGUCCAUUGCCACUAACUACAGCGGGUGGAUCGGAGCGUCGAAAAAGAGAGGUAGACGGCGGCUUCUUCCCAAAGUCAAACAAUGACUUGGCUCUUAAAACAUCAUGGACUGUGCUCCGCCGUAUUGGAACAGUUCCCUUAGGGCACCUUGUCCCAUUUCUAUGCCACAUUUGCCAUGCACCUUUAUCCGUUGCUUCGUUGCUCCUCAUCUCCAUUUCUUCUUCCUUUAUCUUUUUCACUUUUGGCAUUUGUGAUGGCACUCUCUGAAUCUUGUGAUUCUUUAAUAGAGGGUGAUCUAGAGCUGGCUGUUUUCUUUUAUGAACACAAUCUAUGAUAUCUCCAUCUGAGCUCUCUAUGGUCAUAACAGCAGGCUUGUUAAUCUUGUCCAAAUGCCUUUGAAUCCUUUUAAGUCUCAAGCUACUCACUUGCCUAUAAUUUGUGUAAUUUAGACCAGAAAUGAAAGUAAAUUUUUCUAGGAAAAGAAGGGCAAGAAUAAGAGGAAGAAGAAGAACAGGAAAUCUUCUCUUCCUUUCUACAAAACCCAUUUCUCAUUCAGUCUCAAGAAAAAGAAAGAAACUGAGAAAACUAACACAUCAUUGUUAGCAAGAAAAAACAAAAGCAAAGGAAAGAAAGAAAGAAAACAAAAGAGCAGAAGAGCAAAUCUGAAAUUUUCUUGAUAUCACUUGCACCAAACACCCAUACACGCAAGAAAAGGUAAAAGAAAGGGACUUGU